RNAcentral lists this transfer RNA (72 nucleotides) under Flavobacterium sp. MC2016-06. Its description in RNAcentral is "tRNA-Glu". It matches the Rfam family "tRNA". Rfam says of the family: Transfer RNA (tRNA) molecules are approximately 80 nucleotides in length. Their secondary structure includes four short double-helical elements and three loops (D, anti-codon, and T loops). The record is from RNAcentral. Lineage: Bacteria; Pseudomonadati; Bacteroidota; Flavobacteriia; Flavobacteriales; Flavobacteriaceae.
GGGAUAAUAGUUUAAUUGGAAAAAUUACUCCCAUUCACGGAGUGGUUUUGGGUUCGAGUCCCAAUUAUCCUG